RNAcentral lists this ribosomal RNA (515 nucleotides) under uncultured bacterium. Its description in RNAcentral is "partial 16S ribosomal RNA". It matches the Rfam family "Bacterial small subunit ribosomal RNA", at positions 28 to 523 of the family's 1533-position model. The record is from RNAcentral.
GAUGAACGCUGGCGGCGUGCCUAAUACAUGCAAGUCGAGCGAAUGGAUUAAGAGCUUGCUCUUAUGAAGUUAGCGGCGGACGGGUGAGUAACACGUGGGUAACCUGCCCAUAAGACUGGGAUAACUCCGGGAAACCGGGGCUAAUACCGGAUAACAUUUUGAACCGCAUGGUUCGAAAUUGAAAGGCGGCUUCGGCUGUCACUUAUGGAUGGACCCGCGUCGCAUUAGCUAGUUGGUGAGGUAACGGCUCACCAAGGCAACGAUGCGUAGCCGACAUAAGAGGGUGAGCGGCCACACUGGGACUGAGACACGGCCCAGACUCCUACGGGAGGAAGCAGUAGGGAAUCUUCCGCAAUGGACGAAAGUCUGACGAAGCAACGCCGCGUGAGUGAUGAAGGCUUUCGGGUCGUAAAACUCUGUUGUUAGGGAAGAACAAGUGCUAGUUGAAUAAGCUGGCACCUUGACGGUACCUGACCAGAAAGCCACGGCUAACUACGUGCCAGCCGCCGCAGUAA